UACGUAGGGUGCGAGCGUUGUCCGGAAUUACUGGGCGUAAAGAGCUCGUAGGCGGUUUGUCGCGUCUGCUGUGAAAACUCGGGGCUUAACUCCGGGCCUGCAGUGGGUACGGGCAGACUAGAGUGCGGUAGGGGAGACUGGAAUUCCUGGUGUAGCGGUGAAAUGCGCAGAUAUCAGGAGGAACACCGGUGGCGAAGGCGGGUCUCUGGGCCGUAACUGACGCUGAGGAGCGAAAGCGUGGGGAGCGAGCAGG
This 253-nucleotide ribosomal RNA is filed under the name uncultured bacterium. RNAcentral describes it as "partial 16S ribosomal RNA". It matches the Rfam family "Bacterial small subunit ribosomal RNA", at positions 524 to 776 of the family's 1533-position model. The record is from RNAcentral.